GCCAGGCGUGGUGGCAUGUGCCUGUAAUCCCAGCUACUAGGGAGGCUGAGGCAGGAGAAUCGCUUGAGCCUGGGAGGUGGAGGUUGCAGUGAGCUGAGAUGGCACCACUGCACUCCAGCCUGGGCAACAGAGUGAGACCCUGUCUCAA
This 148-nucleotide non-coding RNA is filed under the name Pongo abelii (Sumatran orangutan). The record is from Rfam by way of RNAcentral. Lineage: Eukaryota; Metazoa; Chordata; Mammalia; Primates; Hominidae.